ACCUCGUGGUUGGGACAUUGCAUAAGUUUUUUAUUAAAUCUCUCCCACACUUCAUAUAGAGUCUCUCCAUUCAAUUGAAAAAAGUUUGUGAUUUCAUCAUGCAAUU
Non-coding RNA from Capsicum annuum, 106 nucleotides. Lineage: Eukaryota; Viridiplantae; Streptophyta; Magnoliopsida; Solanales; Solanaceae. The record is from Rfam.